UACAGAGGUCUCAAGCGUUGUUCGGAUUCAUUGGGCGUAAAGGGUGCGUAGGUGGCGCGGUAAGUCGGGUGUGAAAUUUCGGAGCUUAACUCCGAAACUGCAUUCGAUACUGCCGUGCUUGAGGACUGGAGAGGAGACUGGAAUUUACGGUGUAGCAGUGAAAUGCGUAGAGAUCGUAAGGAAGACCAGUGGCGAAGGCGGGUCCCUGGACAACUCCUGACACUGAGGCACGAAAGCUAGGGGAGCAAACAGG
Molecule: ribosomal RNA, 253 nt
Filed under: uncultured bacterium
Lineage: Bacteria
Description: partial 16S ribosomal RNA
Rfam family: Bacterial small subunit ribosomal RNA
Source: RNAcentral